GACAGAGGGUGCAAACGUUGUUCGGAAUUACUGGGCGUAAAGCGCGUGUAGGCGGCUAAGUAAGUCGGGCGUGAAAUCCCACGGCUCAACCGUGGAAGUGCACUCGAAACUGCAUAGCUAGAGUCCUGGAGAGGAAGGUGGAAUGCUUGGUGUAGAGGUGAAAUUCGUAUAUAUCAAGCGGAACACCGGUGGCGAAGGCGGCCUUCUGGACAGUGACUGACGCUGAGACGCGAAAGCGUGGGGAGCAAACAGG
This 253-nucleotide ribosomal RNA is filed under the name uncultured bacterium. RNAcentral describes it as "partial 16S ribosomal RNA". It matches the Rfam family "Bacterial small subunit ribosomal RNA", at positions 524 to 776 of the family's 1533-position model. The record is from RNAcentral.